This is a long non-coding RNA of Alexandromys fortis (reed vole), 712 nucleotides long. RefSeq lists it as uncharacterized. The transcript is spliced from 3 exons. NCBI's taxonomy places the organism in Eukaryota, Metazoa, Chordata, Mammalia, Rodentia, Cricetidae. The record is from RefSeq and is a predicted model, not a curated record.
GCCUCGAUCCCCACUGCUGCCGGCCCUGGGCUUGUCAGCCCCUCGCAGCUCAGUGUUGGCUAAGGGUAUCCUGUCUUCCCCUAGGAGCUCCUGGGGCGCAGGUCAGGGGUGGCAGUACACUGUUCUCUCCCUGAGGUGCCGGUGAAGUGGGUCUUGAGGUCUGGGCCAGGAGUAGACUACUUCCUGAUUUUCCUGGAAAAUUCCCUUGGAAUCUACUUGGCCAAAAGCCAAGGCUCCUCAGGGGCAUCUUCCUCCUUCCCACUUCAGACAAAAGCACAUGUGACUGUCCCACCCAGUGAGGGCAGAACUCCCUGGGAUGAUUCAUCUGUCCUUCUCCAGAAGCAUGGCCUCUCUUUGUGGGGCAGAUAGGGCUGGGGACACAUUCAGAGCUGACAGGCCCUGAAGGACAAGUAGGAACCACGUUGGAGAGUCUGGACCCACAGACGCCAUCUUUGGACUCCUCCCUCGGCCUCAGUUCCCACAUUUGGGUAGUGGAUAGAACAGCUUCUGCUAUCCUGACAAGGACAGGCUAAGCACCGCAUGAGCACCCCAGGCAGGGAGUGACCAGGCCAGGCCGAGAUGGGGUCUUAUCAUAAUCAUCAACUCAACCCAGGAGACCCUAGGUCUGAGGCCCAGCCUCCUUCUGCCAAGCUAGCCUCAGACUCAGAGAUCCACCUGCCUUUGCCUCCCAAGGGCUGGGAUUAAAGGUGUG